CCCUUAGAUGUUCUGGGCUGCACGCGCGCUACACUGACGCACCCAACGGGUUUACGACCUUGCCUGGAAAGGUUGGGUAAUCCUACAAAAAUGCGUCGUGGUGGGGACAGAUUACUGCAAUAACUAAUCUUCAACGAGGAAUUCCUAGUAAGCGCGAGUCAUAAGCUCGCGUUGAUUACGUCCCUGCCCUUUGUACACACCGCCCGUCGCUACUACCGAUUGAACGGUUUAGUGAGGGCCUCGGAUUGGUCUCGGCCCGCUCUUUACCGGGCGGCGCCGUUGGUCGAGAAGACGCUCGAACUUGAUCGUUUAGAGGAAGUAAAAGUCGUAACA
RNAcentral lists this ribosomal RNA (333 nucleotides) under uncultured eukaryote. RNAcentral describes it as "partial 18S ribosomal RNA". It matches the Rfam family "Eukaryotic small subunit ribosomal RNA", at positions 1470 to 1796 of the family's 1831-position model. The record is from RNAcentral.